GGAGAGGUGGCAGAGUGGUCGAAUGCGCCGGACUCGAAAUCCGGUUCACGGUUAUGCCGUGACGUGGGUUCGAAUCCCACCCUCUCCACCA
This 91-nucleotide transfer RNA is filed under the name Burkholderiales bacterium. RNAcentral's name for it is "tRNA-Ser". It matches the Rfam family "tRNA". From Rfam's summary of the family: Transfer RNA (tRNA) molecules are approximately 80 nucleotides in length. Their secondary structure includes four short double-helical elements and three loops (D, anti-codon, and T loops). Lineage: Bacteria; Pseudomonadati; Pseudomonadota; Betaproteobacteria; Burkholderiales. RNAcentral also lists the same sequence under 2 other names. The record is from RNAcentral.